UACGUAGGGGGCGAGCGUUGUCCGGAUUUAUUGGGCGUAAAGAGCGUGUAGGCGGUUCGGUAAGUCUGUCGUGAAAUCCUGAGGCUCAACCUCGGGCGUGCGAUGGAUACUGCCGGGCUAGAGGGUGGUAGAGGCGAGUGGAAUUCCCGGUGUAGCGGUGAAAUGUGCAGAUAUCGGGAGGAACACCAGUAGCGAAGGCGGCUCGCUGGGCCACACCUGACGCUGAGACGCGAAAGCUAGGGGAGCGAACAGG
RNAcentral lists this ribosomal RNA (253 nucleotides) under uncultured bacterium. RNAcentral's name for it is "partial 16S ribosomal RNA". It matches the Rfam family "Bacterial small subunit ribosomal RNA", at positions 524 to 776 of the family's 1533-position model. The record is from RNAcentral.